AUGCAGUGGUACUUGGUGGCCGCGCUCCUCACCGUCCUCACCAGCUCCCAGGGUAUAUUGACUACUCUCUCCCAGAGCAAUGGCAAGUAUAAGUAUGACUAUGCAACCAUUCCCUUCCUAGCAGAACUCUUCAAGUUGUCUGUAUCAAGUUUCUUCCUUUGGAACAAAUGCAAGUCUUCAUCUCCACCAAGGAUGACAAAGGAGUGGAGGAGUGUGCGGCUAUAUCUUGUUCCUUCAAUAAUAUACCUCAUCCAUAACAAUGUGCAGUUCGCAACCUUGACCUAUGUUGAUCCAUCUACCUAUCAGAUAAUGGGGAACUUGAAAAUUGUCACAACCGGAAUCUUGUUCAGGCUUGUCCUAAAAAGGAAGUUAUCAAAUCUACAAUGGAUGGCGAUUGUUUUGCUUGCUGUUGGUACAACUACUAGCCAGGUCAAAGGAUGUGGAGAUGGACCAUGUGAUUCGCUUUUCUCAGCACCAUUACAGGGUUACAUGCUUGGUAUACUUUCUGCUUGUCUUUCAGCACUAGCUGGUGUCUACACAGAGUACUUGAUGAAGAAGAACAAUGAUAGUUUGUACUGGCAAAAUGUACAGUUAUAUACGUUUGGAGUUAUAUUCAACAUGGGGUGGCUAAUUUAUGGCGAUUUCAAAGCUGGAUUUGAGUUGGGUCCUUGGUGGCAGCGCCUAUUUAAUGGCUAUUCUGUCACAACAUGGAUGGUUGUGUUCAAUUUAGGGUCCACUGGUCUACUAGUAUCAUGGUUGAUGAAGUAUUCAGACAAUAUAGUCAAGGUGUACUCAACUUCAAUGGCUAUGCUAUUAACGAUGGUUUUAUCUAUAUACCUUUUCAGUGUGAAAGCAACAAUUCAGCUUUUCUUAGGCAUUAUCAUCUGCAUAAUUUCGCUGCAGAUGUAUUUUAUGCCUACCCACAUGCUUGUUGAAUUGCCACAAACAUUACCUGUGACAUCAAAGUAGGCUUAUGGCACUUUAGCUAACCUGAUCGGAGUGUAGAACACUGUUUAUCUAGGGACAAGAAUCUGUUUGGUUUAUCUGGGGGCAAGAAUCUGUCUGAUUGACCUGUUUGGGCAAAUUUGUGGCUGGAACCUCAACUGCUGUGGUUAGUUUCAUGAUGCAGAAAAGGUAAAAGAUGGGAGGCUGAUUGGUAUUGUUUUGUCUUUGGGAAAAGGAAAUGAAAGCAAACUUUUUGAGUUUUUUUUUUCAAAUAGUGCAAAACUGUCCAUUACUAAUAUCCAAAAGUGACAGUAUUGAUAGAGUAGUAGAUACGAAACUGGCAAGUACAACGAGUUGUGUCAUCUUUGCAAAAAGUGACACCGAUUAUUUUUUCCUUACAUUUUAUUUUCAUGUAGCUAUCUGUUCAGGAAAUAUUCAUAAUGAACAUGAUCGAGCACAUCCUCUUUAUGUGCAAAUAAUUUUUUUUUCGUGAAA
Molecule: RNA transcript, 1440 nt
Organism: Panicum virgatum (switchgrass)
Lineage: Eukaryota; Viridiplantae; Streptophyta; Magnoliopsida; Poales; Poaceae
Gene name: CMP-sialic acid transporter 1-like
Exons: 9
Source: RefSeq, a predicted model, not a curated record